This 284-nucleotide unclassified non-coding RNA is filed under the name Hevea brasiliensis (rubber tree). Lineage: Eukaryota; Viridiplantae; Streptophyta; Magnoliopsida; Malpighiales; Euphorbiaceae. The record is from RNAcentral.
AGAGACUCUGCAACCAAACCAAACACCAAACUCUGCAAGCUUACUCACUACUCAAGUUACCCAUCCACGUGAGAAUCGAUUUCACGCUGCAGCGGCCUUCUCUUGUUUCUCUUUUACAAUCUCAGCUCUCCUCACUUCAGCAUGUUGAGCAAUGCCACUGGCUAGUGCCUGAUGGCGAAAGUCUAAGGUUUGCAUCAGGUUCUGGAUUCUUGUUGGAUUCACCGUUUGCACAACUUGUAUUGCUUCAACAAAGAAAACGAAAGGGUCCACUUCAUCAAUUGGCG